Molecule: long non-coding RNA, 343 nt
Organism: Aethina tumida (small hive beetle)
Lineage: Eukaryota; Metazoa; Arthropoda; Insecta; Coleoptera; Nitidulidae
Exons: 3
Source: RefSeq, a predicted model, not a curated record
UUGCUCUCAAAUUCGUGAGUGACACUCAUAGUCGAGCUUCUUCUUGAUAUGAAUCGAAACUACAUCACAUUAAAGACUUAAACGAAGCAUUAAGAUGUUAAAUCAGAAAUCCAACCAAAUUUUUGUCCAUUUCUACUAAAUACAACUCUGUAUCAUGGUAGCCUGUUCCCCUACACCGGCGUCAAAUUCUUUUUCCAGAAAAUUUUUAUAUAAGGUACCAGGAUCACAUGACGGAAGUGGAAGUAGCGACUUUAGUUUUGGAAUUCACUGAUACACUCCACUGGAAAUUUGCGUUAAAAUAGACAACAUUUUGUCAUUUACAACUGAAAAUUUCGUCCUGCAA